This 505-nucleotide ribosomal RNA is filed under the name Cephalobus persegnis. RNAcentral describes it as "SSU rRNA". It matches the Rfam family "Eukaryotic small subunit ribosomal RNA", at positions 88 to 590 of the family's 1831-position model. Lineage: Eukaryota; Metazoa; Nematoda; Chromadorea; Rhabditida; Cephalobidae. The record is from RNAcentral.
CGCGAAUAGCUCAUUACAACAGCUAUAAUUUACUUGAUCUUGACACAAUCCUACUUGGAUAACUGUGGUAAUUCUAGAGCUAAUACAUGCAUUAAAGCUCUGACCUCACGGGAAGAGUGCAUUUAUUAGAACAAAACCAAGCGGCUUCGGCUGUUUCUGGUUGACUCAUAGUAACUGAGCUGAUCGCAUGGUCUUGCACCGGCGACGUGUCUUUCAAGUAUCUGCCGUAUCAACUUUCGAUGGUAGUGUAUCUGACUACCAUGGUGAUCACGCGUAACGGAGAAUAAGGGUUCGACUCCGGAGAGUUCGCCUGAGAAAUCGCGAACACAUCUAAGGAAGGCAGCAGGCGCGAAAAUUACCCACUCUCAGCACGAGGAGGUAGUGACGAAAAAUAACGAGACCGUUCUCUUUCGAGGCCGGUCAUCGGAAUGGGUACAAUCUAAACCCUUUAACGAGUAUCUAUGAGAGGGCAAGUCUGGUGCCAGCAGCCGCGGUAAUUCCAGCU